RNAcentral lists this long non-coding RNA (338 nucleotides) under Eucalyptus grandis. Its description in RNAcentral is "long non-coding RNA (EGRA_LNC007042)". Lineage: Eukaryota; Viridiplantae; Streptophyta; Magnoliopsida; Myrtales; Myrtaceae. The record is from RNAcentral.
GCUGGCGUGAGAUGAGGGUCUUCGGUGGAGCUUCGGAGGUCAACAAAUUGGCUUCACUUGGAGAAUUCUGCUGCAGUUGACCGAGGGAAACCAAAAAAUGGUGGAGCAGCUGGCGUGAGAUGAGCGCUAGAGUUCGAAUGGUGGAGGAGAAGGGCAGAAAGAGAGAGAGAGAGAGGAGCUGUGGCGUCCAGAGAGAAAGGAAAAUGAAAACAAACGCUGCACGGUCUUCGAAGGAAAGAAAAGAGAGAGAAGGAGACUGACUUGGAGAGAGAACGAACGGAUCAGGGAGAGGGACGCGUGAGGCUUGCUCGAGAAGCCGUGGGUGAGGGGGAAGAAAG